This 420-nucleotide ribosomal RNA is filed under the name Fusobacteriota bacterium. Its description in RNAcentral is "Fusobacteria bacterium partial 16S ribosomal RNA". It matches the Rfam family "Bacterial small subunit ribosomal RNA", at positions 355 to 776 of the family's 1533-position model. The record is from RNAcentral. Lineage: Bacteria; Fusobacteriati; Fusobacteriota.
UGGGGGAUAUUGCACAAUGGGCGAAAGCCUGAUGCAGCGACGCCGCGUGGGGGAUGAAGGCCUUCGGGUUGUAAACUUCUGUUGCUCUGAACAAGGCAUGCCGUUGGGGUGUGUUGAGUGUAGGGGUUGAUUAGCGCCGGCUAACUACGUGCCAGCAGCCGCGGUAAUACGUAGGGCGCGAGCGUUGUCCGGAAUUAUUGGGCGUAAAGGGCUUGUAGGUGGCUGGUUGCGUCUGUCGUGAAAGCUCAUGGCUUAACUGUGGGUUUGCGGUGGGUACGGGCUGGCUUGAGUGCAGUAGGGGAGGCUGGAAUUCCUGGUGUAGCGGUGGAAUGCGCAGAUAUCAGGAGGAAUACCGGUGGCGAAGGCGGGUCUCUGGGCUGUUACUGACGCUGAGGAGCGAAAGCGUGGGGAGCGAACAGG